This 336-nucleotide unclassified non-coding RNA is filed under the name soil metagenome. RNAcentral describes it as "partial contains 5.8S ribosomal RNA, internal transcribed spacer 2, and large subunit ribosomal RNA". The stretch from base 1 to 120 matches the Rfam family "5.8S ribosomal RNA", at positions 35 to 154 of the family's 154-position model. The record is from RNAcentral.
GAUGAAGAACGCAGCGAAAUGCGAUAAGUAAUGUGAAUUGCAGAAUUCAGUGAAUCAUCGAAUCUUUGAACGCACAUUGCGCCCAUUAGUAUUCUAGUGGGCAUGCCUGUUCGAGCGUCAUUUCAACCCUUAAGCCUAGCUUAGUGUUGGGAAUCCGCUGUAUUGCAGUUCCUCAAAUACAACGGAGGAUCUGUAACAUCCUCUGAGCGUAGUAAAUUUUUAUCUCGCUUUUGUUAGGUGUUGCAGCUCUCAGCCGCUAAACCCCCCAAUUUUUGUGGUUGACCUCGGAUCAGGUAGGAAUACCCGCUGAACUUAAGCAUAUCAAUAAGCGGAGGA